CCCUGGUCCCUGGAGCUGGAGCGGCGGGUGGAGCCUCCAUGGAGAUGGACUGACUGAACACAUGCAUGUCUCCGGGGACGGGACGGCACGGCACGGCGCGCCGCGGCGACGUCGGGCCCUCCCGCGCACGCGCAUGUGCCGGCCGUGGUCGUGAUCGAGCGCAUGAUCCGGAGGCCCACCCAUGGGCCAUGGGGACUGGGGUUACAGCGGAGGGGCCGGCAGGCGGCCGUGGCGGGGCCGUCGCGAGCGCAUCGCCCGGGUGCGCUGCAUGCAGAUGCAGCUGAUGGUGGGCAGCAGCGCGCCACCGGGCCGGAGUGGGGACUGGGCCGUGGCCGAGUGGCCGGCUUUUUAAGCAAACAUUAUAUGCCCAACAAUCUAAACAAGUGGGUCCUCCAUGGCCUCUCAGGCUGCUGCCUUCGCUGUUGUCAUGUUAGCUUUCCUCUCCUGUCCAACGGGUUGAAGAGGAAGAUGGAGCCAUGGGAUGCGGAAGAGAAACCUUUGUCUAUGGUCCUAGGCUAGAUGAAGAUGGACACAGACAGAAGCAUCCGUAACUUGUCUAGGGUUGAAAUGAAAACAGACGGGAAAAAAAUCAUUCCCGACCCGUAUCAGUUUCUAUAUUUGCCCCAUCCGUUUUGUAUUUGCAGAAUAAACUGAAAACGAGAGAGUCUAUUUUGUCCUUUUUUUUUGCGGGA
This 692-nucleotide unclassified non-coding RNA is filed under the name Zea mays. Its description in RNAcentral is "misc RNA Zm00001eb173920". Lineage: Eukaryota; Viridiplantae; Streptophyta; Magnoliopsida; Poales; Poaceae. The record is from RNAcentral.